This 253-nucleotide ribosomal RNA is filed under the name uncultured bacterium. RNAcentral describes it as "partial 16S ribosomal RNA". It matches the Rfam family "Bacterial small subunit ribosomal RNA", at positions 524 to 776 of the family's 1533-position model. The record is from RNAcentral.
UACGAAGGUGGCAAGCGUUGUUCGGAAUCACUGGGCAUAAAGGGCGCGUAGGCGGUGCCUUAAGUCGGCUGUGAAAGACCUCGGCUCACCCGAGGAAACGCAGCCGAUACUGAGGUGCUAGAACACGGAAGGGGAAGGUGGAAUUCCAGGUGGAGCGGUGAAAUGCGUAGAUAUCUGGAGGAACACCGGUGGCGAAAGCGGCCUUCUGGUCCGUUGUUGACGCUGAGGCGCGAAAGCUAGGGUAGCAAACAGG